RNAcentral lists this ribosomal RNA (254 nucleotides) under uncultured bacterium. Its description in RNAcentral is "partial 16S ribosomal RNA". It matches the Rfam family "Bacterial small subunit ribosomal RNA", at positions 524 to 776 of the family's 1533-position model. The record is from RNAcentral.
UACGGGGGGAGCAAGCGUUGUUCGGAUUUACUGGGCGUAAAGGGCGCGUAGGCGGUCAGCACAAGUCAGUUGUGAAAUCUCCGAGCUUAACUCGGAAAGGUCAACUGAUACUGUGCGACUAGAGUGCGGAAGGGGCAACUGGAAUUCUUGGUGUAGCGGUGAAAUACGUAGAUAUCAAGAGGAACACCUGCGGCGAAGGCGGGUUGCUGGGCCGACACUGACGCUGAGGCGCGAAAGCUAGGGGAGCGAACGGG